CGGAGUGUAGCGCAGCCUGGUAGCGCACAUUGUUCGGGACGAUGGGGUCGCAGGUUCAAAUCCUGCCACUCCGACCA
RNAcentral lists this transfer RNA (77 nucleotides) under Mesorhizobium sp. RNAcentral describes it as "tRNA-Pro". It matches the Rfam family "tRNA". From Rfam's summary of the family: Transfer RNA (tRNA) molecules are approximately 80 nucleotides in length. Their secondary structure includes four short double-helical elements and three loops (D, anti-codon, and T loops). The record is from RNAcentral. RNAcentral also lists the same sequence under 2 other names. Lineage: Bacteria; Pseudomonadati; Pseudomonadota; Alphaproteobacteria; Hyphomicrobiales; Phyllobacteriaceae.